GGGGGUAUGGCUCAGUGGUGGAGUACCUACUCAGAAAGUAUGAGACCCUGUGUUCAAAUCCAGUACUGUCA
RNAcentral lists this transfer RNA (71 nucleotides) under Dipodomys ordii (Ord's kangaroo rat). It matches the Rfam family "tRNA". From Rfam's summary of the family: Transfer RNA (tRNA) molecules are approximately 80 nucleotides in length. Lineage: Eukaryota; Metazoa; Chordata; Mammalia; Rodentia; Heteromyidae. The record is from Rfam by way of RNAcentral.